Transfer RNA from Toxocara canis (dog roundworm), 59 nucleotides. It matches the Rfam family "tRNA". Rfam says of the family: Transfer RNA (tRNA) molecules are approximately 80 nucleotides in length. Their secondary structure includes four short double-helical elements and three loops (D, anti-codon, and T loops). Further hydrogen bonds mediate the characteristic L-shaped molecular structure. tRNAs have two regions of fundamental functional importance: the anti-codon, which is responsible for specific mRNA codon recognition, and the 3' end, to which the tRNAs corresponding amino acid is attached (by aminoacyl-tRNA synthetases). tRNAs cope with the degeneracy of the genetic code in two manners: having more than one tRNA (with a specific anti-codon) for a particular amino acid; and 'wobble' base-pairing, i.e. permitting non-standard base-pairing at the 3rd anti-codon position. The record is from Rfam. Lineage: Eukaryota; Metazoa; Nematoda; Chromadorea; Rhabditida; Toxocaridae.
GCGGCAGUAGCUCAGUGGUAGAGAGCGGGGAGACCCGGGUUCGAUUCCCGGUUGAUUCC